UUCUAAAUAUAACCCGAGCACGACAGAGGCGCUCACGUGGGGCUAUUACUGGAUGAAAAGUGCUAAAAAUAGCCGCACUUUGGAGGUGCAGACGUUUUAUGACUGGAAAUAUAGACGUUAUACUCGUUUACAACAGGGGAGGUGUGUUAUCACAUGACAGAGCAGGAAACACCUGUGUGUUUUUUUCAUUAAAUAGGAUUUCUUGUUUUCAUAGAAUAGCUAGAAACUCCCUACUAGCCUCAACUAACCUCUUGGAGGAAAAGUAUGAAGAAAGCUAGAGGGAUCAUUCAGGGUGAGAAGCAGUUGGGAGUUUUUCCAAAGAGGGAAGAACCGGCACGUGACUGAAUGGACCGUCUUGUUCCUUCCAUCCAUUGUCUUAUCACUCACUCCUUGUGUCUGAUGCAUUUGCCUAAGUGUGUCACACACACACACACACACACACACACUCUCUCUCUCUCUCUCUCUCUCUCUCUCUCUCUCUUCACCACCGCUGGAUUAGUCCUCCUGCGU
Long non-coding RNA from Sebastes umbrosus (honeycomb rockfish), 510 nucleotides. RefSeq lists it as uncharacterized. The transcript is spliced from 3 exons. The record is from RefSeq and is a predicted model, not a curated record. Lineage: Eukaryota; Metazoa; Chordata; Actinopteri; Perciformes; Sebastidae.